Molecule: ribosomal RNA, 460 nt
Filed under: uncultured bacterium
Lineage: Bacteria
Description: partial 16S ribosomal RNA
Rfam family: Bacterial small subunit ribosomal RNA
Source: RNAcentral
CCUACGGGAGGCAGCAGUGAGGAAUAUUGGUCAAUGGACGAGAGUCUGAACCAGCCAAGUAGCGUGAAGGAUGACUGCCCUAUGGGUUGUAAACUUCUUUUAUAUGGGAAUAAAAUGUUCCACGUGUGGGAUUUUGUAUGUACCAUAUGAAUAAGGAUCGGCUAACUCCGUGCCAGCAGCCGCGGUAAUACGGAGGAUCCGAGCGUUAUCCGGAUUUAUUGGGUUUAAAGGGAGCGUAGGUGGAUUGUUAAGUCAGUUGUGAAAGUUUGCGGCUCAACCGUAAAAUUGCAGUUGAAACUGGCAGUCUUGAGUACAGUAGAGGUGGGCGGAAUUCGUGGUGUAGCGGUGAAAUGCUUAGAUAUCACGAAGAACUCCGAUUGCGAAGGCAGUUCACUGGACUGCAACUGACACUGAGGCUCGAAAGUGUGGGUAUCAAACAGGAUUUGAUACCCGUGUAGUC